This 256-nucleotide ribosomal RNA is filed under the name uncultured bacterium. RNAcentral's name for it is "partial 16S ribosomal RNA". It matches the Rfam family "Bacterial small subunit ribosomal RNA", at positions 524 to 776 of the family's 1533-position model. The record is from RNAcentral.
UACGUAGGGUCCGAGCGUUUGUCCGGAAUUACUGGGCGUAAAGAGCUCGUAGGUGGUUUGUCGCGUUGUUCGUGAAAACUCACAGCUUAACUGUGGGCGUGCGGGCGAUACGGGGCAGACUUGAGUACUGCAGGGGAGACUGGAAUUCCUGGUGUAGCGGUGAAAUGCGCAGAUAUCAGGAGGAACACCGGUGGCGAAGGCGGGUCUCUGGGACGUUACUGGACACUGAGGCGCGAAAGCGUGGGGAGCGAACAGG